This is a long non-coding RNA of Eurytemora carolleeae, 297 nucleotides long. RefSeq lists it as uncharacterized. Lineage: Eukaryota; Metazoa; Arthropoda; Copepoda; Calanoida; Temoridae. The transcript has 2 exons. The record is from RefSeq and is a predicted model, not a curated record.
UACCACUCCUCUUUUUAGUCACCAACCUACCACUCCUCUUUUUGUGUGUACAAGACUAAAUAGUUCAUCAGGUCUCGGUAGAUGUUGUCCGAGAUCCUCUAGAGUGGAAGAGUGGGAGAGGUCAGAUGGGUUGACCUUCUCCUUCCAGUGCUUGUCGUAGAGUGUUGAAGACCUGGGGUUCUUUCCAUCAUCAAGAAUUAGAUAAUACGAGUUAUACACGAAGCAUAAUAAUAUUCUUUACAAAAUUAUGAUAUAUUAAACAUCAAUUAUGUACAAAAUAAAACGAGCACUAUUUAA